CGUGAGUGAAGAAGGGUUUCGGCUCGUAAAGCUCUGUUGUUGGAGAAGAAGGACAGGGGUAGUAACUGACCUUUGUUUGACGGUAAUCAAUUAGAAAGUCACGGCUAACUACGUGCCAGCAGCCGCGGUAAU
RNAcentral lists this ribosomal RNA (132 nucleotides) under uncultured bacterium. RNAcentral describes it as "partial 16S ribosomal RNA". It matches the Rfam family "Bacterial small subunit ribosomal RNA", at positions 400 to 524 of the family's 1533-position model. The record is from RNAcentral.